CAGUAUUUGGCUACUUGGAAAGGUCCUGGAGACGCUGCCUAAUCGGUGCCUCCAUUUGGAGAGACUUUCUGUGGCAUAAAGUUCGGUAGCACAGAGAAGAUUUUGGCGGUAAUGUGCCUGAUUAGAAGUUCCCCACUUCGGAAAGCAGUAAUGUCUGAGAUUCUUCGACCAAAAAAAAUGUGCAGGUUCAAGCCAAGGAAUGGACGACCGCUGGUUCAACAGUCAUCUUUUGGGAAGAUUGGCCACAGGUGAGAAAGCAACUUUCUCGAGGAGUUGCUGCAGUAUCAGCGAGCCUCGGCACAAGCUUGUCCACCCAGAAGUCGAUCAAUAUUAAGAAAAAAGCACACAUGGGAUUGGUAAUUACUUAUUGAUAUCAUUAGUAUUAACUGAUGUGUAAAACUUUUGAUCGGGUGUCUUGGUAAUAUUUGUGGAAGAAAAUCGUCCAUUUUCCUCA
Long non-coding RNA from Syzygium oleosum, 454 nucleotides. RefSeq lists it as uncharacterized. The transcript has 3 exons. Lineage: Eukaryota; Viridiplantae; Streptophyta; Magnoliopsida; Myrtales; Myrtaceae. The record is from RefSeq and is a predicted model, not a curated record.